Molecule: non-coding RNA, 101 nt
Filed under: Streptomyces sp. di188
Lineage: Bacteria; Bacillati; Actinomycetota; Actinomycetes; Kitasatosporales; Streptomycetaceae
Also listed under: 1 other name
Source: RNAcentral
GAGAGCCCGGUGCAGGGACAACUUGCACGCCGGGUUCGGAGGGCGGGGCGGAGAAACGGGCCGGUGCGAAAGACCGGUACCGCGCUCCGCUCCGACCCUAC